UUUUGCUAUCUGUUCAGGCAGAUGUAGAACUGCCCAGUUCGAGCCGAGCGGAGCGAGACAACAUCGGCGCCUGCGACGAUGGCCCGAAGGGUGAACAGCGAAGCUGUGAAUCAUCUGCCUAGUCCUACCA
This 130-nucleotide small RNA is filed under the name Amphritea opalescens. RNAcentral's name for it is "Amphritea sp. MCCC 1K03512 RtT sRNA". It matches the Rfam family "RtT RNA". Rfam says of the family: This family represents a bacterial cis-regulatory element known as RtT RNA. The exact function of RtT is unknown although it is thought that it may be involved in changing the cellular response in relation to amino acid starvation. Lineage: Bacteria; Pseudomonadati; Pseudomonadota; Gammaproteobacteria; Oceanospirillales; Oceanospirillaceae. The record is from RNAcentral.